Molecule: non-coding RNA, 152 nt
Filed under: Roseburia sp.
Lineage: Bacteria; Bacillati; Bacillota; Clostridia; Lachnospirales; Lachnospiraceae
Description: GlcN6P sequence
Rfam family: glmS glucosamine-6-phosphate activated ribozyme aptamer
About the family: This entry contains a glucosamine-6-phosphate activated ribozyme that is found in the mRNA for GlmS. GlmS is an enzyme that uses fructose-6-phosphate and glutamine to generate glucosamine-6-phosphate.
Source: RNAcentral
CUUUUCCAUUUAGCGCCAUGUACCUGCGUUGACAGGUUGACGAGGAGAAGGGUGAUCGAAAAUUCGGCGGAUGCCCUUCCGUGGACUUCCCUGCGAGAUAUACCGGCAAAUAUGCGGGUGACUGCAAAACAAAUACGGUAUAAGGAAGAUGA